AACGAACGUUGGCGGCGUGGCUUAGGCAUGCAAGUCGAACGAGAAAGUUUCCUUCGGGGAGCGAGUAUAGUGGCAAAAGGGUGAGUAAUGAUUAGUUAACCUACCCCUAAAACUGGGAUAACUACCCGAAAGGGUUGCUAAUACCGGAUGGUCUAUGAGAGAUGCAUAUCUUUUAUAGUAAAGGCGCUCGCAAGGGUGUCGAUUAGGGAGGGGAUUAAUUCCUAUUAGCUAGUUGGUGAGGUAAUGGCUCUACCAAGGCAUUGAUGGGUAACCGAUCUGAGAGGAUGACCGGUCACACUGGGACUGAGACACUGCCCAGACUCCUACGGGAGGCUGCAGUCGCGAAUAUUCCGCAAUGGACGCAAGUCUGACGGAGCGACGCCGCGUGUGGGAUGAAGGCCUUAGGGUUGUAAACCACUGUCACACUUUAAGAAAUCAAUUAGGGUAACUCCUAGUUGUUGACAAAGGAGUGGAAGGAAGUCACGGCUAACUACGUGCCAGCAGCCGCGGUAAUGUAGUCG
Molecule: ribosomal RNA, 521 nt
Filed under: uncultured bacterium
Lineage: Bacteria
Description: bacterial SSU rRNA
Rfam family: Bacterial small subunit ribosomal RNA
Source: RNAcentral